CCUACGGGUGGCUGCAGUGGGGAAUAUUGGACAAUGGGGGCAACCCUGAUCCAGCCAUGCCGCGUGUGUGAAGAAGGCCCUCGGGUUGUAAAGCACUUUCAGUGAGGAAGAACGCCUGGUGGUUAAUACCCAUCAGGAAAGACAUCACUCACAGAAGAAGCACCGGCUAACUCCGUGCCAGCAGCCGCGAUAAUACGGAGGGUGCGAGCGUUAAUCGGAAUUACUGGGCGUAAAGCGCGCGUAGGUGGCUUGAUAAGCCGGUUGUGAAAGCCCCGGGCUCAACCUGGGAACGGCAUCCGGAACUGUCAAGCUAGAGUGCAGGAGAGGAAGGUAGAAUUCCCGGUGUAGCGGUGAAAUGCGUAGAGAUCGGGAGGAAUACCAGUGGCGAAGGCGGCCUUCUGGACUGACACUGACACUGAGGUGCGAAAGCGUGGGUAGCAAACAGGAUUAGAUACCCCUGUAGUC
This 465-nucleotide ribosomal RNA is filed under the name Vreelandella stevensii. RNAcentral's name for it is "partial 16S ribosomal RNA". It matches the Rfam family "Bacterial small subunit ribosomal RNA", at positions 338 to 795 of the family's 1533-position model. Lineage: Bacteria; Pseudomonadati; Pseudomonadota; Gammaproteobacteria; Oceanospirillales; Halomonadaceae. The record is from RNAcentral.